This 305-nucleotide ribosomal RNA is filed under the name uncultured bacterium. Its description in RNAcentral is "partial 16S ribosomal RNA". It matches the Rfam family "Bacterial small subunit ribosomal RNA", at positions 508 to 807 of the family's 1533-position model. The record is from RNAcentral.
ACAGCAGUAGCCGCGGUAAUACGAAGGGGGCUAGCGUUGUUCGGAAUUACUGGGCGUAAAGCGCGCGUAGGCGGUUACUCAAGUCAGAGGUGAAAGCCCGGGGCUCAACCCCGGAACUGCCUUUGAAACUAGGUGACUAGAAUCUUGGAGAGGUCAGUGGAAUUCCGAGUGUAGAGGUGAAAUUCGUAGAUAUUCGGAAGAACACCAGUGGCGAAGGCGACUGACUGGACAAGUAUUGACGCUGAGGUGCGAAAGCGUGGGGAGCAAACAGGAUUAGAUACCCGUGUAGUCCCUGUCUCUUAUAC